This 65-nucleotide small RNA is filed under the name Arabidopsis thaliana (thale cress). RNAcentral describes it as "ATSL241020". The record is from RNAcentral. Lineage: Eukaryota; Viridiplantae; Streptophyta; Magnoliopsida; Brassicales; Brassicaceae.
UGGAUAUAACUUUUGGCCAUAUGCAUGGACCCUAUAAAUACCAUCCUUGAAGAAGAAGAAAAAAA